Drosophila navojoa is the source of this 208-nucleotide long non-coding RNA. The record is from RefSeq and is a predicted model, not a curated record. Lineage: Eukaryota; Metazoa; Arthropoda; Insecta; Diptera; Drosophilidae.
UGCGUGGUUUUUGUUAGCUGUGGACGGACUUCGCUAGCUCCCAGUCAACUUAAACAGUUAUAUUUAGUUAAAAUUUACAACCGUGAAGUUCGGCUAAGAAAAUAGCUAAGCUAAAAUGCUGAUGUGCCAUGUGAAUUGCAUUGAAUGUCUCUGCAACUUGUGAUUGCUUAAGCGAAAGGAUCAAAGGAAAAGACUAUUUGAAACGUAU